Molecule: long non-coding RNA, 1143 nt
Filed under: Homo sapiens (human)
Lineage: Eukaryota; Metazoa; Chordata; Mammalia; Primates; Hominidae
Description: non-protein coding lnc-RNF182-3:1
Source: RNAcentral
AACUUUUUUAAAAGUGAAAAAGGAAGCAAAUAAUACUGUAUAUUUCAUACACUAUAUCUUAAUUUGAGAUAUAUAUGUAUGUAUAUUUAAAUUUAGAACCAUAUAUUAAAAUUUUUGCAGUGGUUAUUUCUGAAAGGUGGUUUAUGGAUGGAUUAAAUUUCUUUCUUUGUACUUUUCUGUAUUUUUCAAAUUUUCUACAAACGACCAUAGUAGAAAAUAAUAGAGAAGCUGCAAAAAAGGGAGAAAAUUUUUAUAAUAGAGAAAAAGUUGCAAAAAAGGGGAGACACCCAAGUUUAUAGUACUAUAUUUUAGGCAAAUUGCCAUGAAAAAUUGUUAAACUUAAAAAAAAAACUUAAAGAGGUAAGGUUUGGUGUUAUUGAGCACUUCAAAUGUGGCUAGCUCAAACUGAGAUAGCUGUAAGUAUAAAUUACCAAAUGGAUUUCAAAGUCUUAGUGCAAAAAGAGAAUAUGAAAUAUCUCAUGUAUUUUUAAACAUUGGUUACAUGAUAAAAAAAAUUUUGUUAGAUUAAAUAAACUAUAUUAUUUUCUUAGUCCAUUUUGUGCUGCUAUAACAGAAUGUCUGACACUGGUUAGUUUACAAUUCUGGAGGCUGGAGUCCAAGGUCAAGGGGUGGCAUCUGGUGAUGGCCUUCUUGCUUCAUCAUCCCAUGGCAGAAGGCAGGAGAGCAAGAGAAUGUGUAGGAGAGAAAUAGAGGGCCAAACUCAUUUUUCUAACAAGCCCUCUCUUGAGAUAACUAACUUACUCCCUCAAUAACAACAUUAAUCCACUCACAAGGGCAGAGCCUUCAUGACCUAAUCGGCACUUAUUAGGCUGUACCACCAACAUUGCUGCAUUGGGGAUAAAGUUUCUGAUACAUAAACUUUGGGGAACAUAUUCAAAUCAUAGGAAUUGUUAAAAGUAAUUUUAUGUAUUUCUUUUUACUUUUUAAAAUGUACCUACCAGAAAGUUUACAAUUAAACAUAUGGCUGAUGUUUGUGGCUAUAUAUGUAUUGGACAGUGCUGGUCUAGAAUAUCAUCCAAUUUUUAAUAAACCCCUGAAACCCAAGUGACUUUAAGUGCUUUACCUUUCCCCUAACAUCCUCUUCAGUAUUAUCCAAUAAAAAGGCUUUAUCCUCCAUCCUAA